AAAUUCAUUAGUCUCUAAGGUGCCACAAGUCCUCCUUUUCUUUUUGCAGAUACAGACUGACACGGCUGCUACUCUGAAACAGGAUACUUUGUUGGUCCAACACAGAACGUUGGCGCAGGUCCCUGCGACGGUGCAAUGACUCACCCCUGCAGCGCCUCCUGCUGGCCAUCUGGGAAUUAGCUCUUUCCAGCACUGAGCACCCUCUGCAGGCCCGUGUCCCUCCCAGACCCCAGUGCCAGAGAGGGGAACGCCAAACCCUCUAAUCCCCACCUUGCCUCAGUCUGGCCUACUGCCCAUCAUCAUGAAGCCCCUGCACCCUGGGGUAGACUGCAGUGUAAGAGCCAAUCAUCACAGGUGAGGGGGUUUGCGUCUGCUGCCUUUCCCUGCAACCCAGUACCCCUAUGGGCCUUGGACCAGGCCUGACAACCUGGGGAGUUGCCAGCCUAGGGCUUCCCUGCUCCUCUUGCCUUUCUCCAGCCCUACCUCAUUCCCAGUGCUCUUUCUACAGACAACCAGGCCCUGCUCCCUUCAAGACUAGAGAAAAAGACCUUGUCCUACUGGCCCACUGCCCUCUUAUAAGGGCCAGCUGGGCCCUGAUUACCCAGGCUACAGCUGUGGCUGCUUUCCCCAUCAGCCCAGCUGUUGUUUAUCCCUUUCAUAGAUAUCAAGGUCAGAAGGGACCAUUAUGCUCAUUUAGUCUGACCUGCACAAUGCAGGCUACAGAAUCUCACUCACCCACUCCUGUGAAAAACCUCUCACCUCUUUUAGAAGGACUGAUUGCAAAGGAGAUACCUGGGAUGACUCUUUUUGCUAAUCUAGGUGAUAUUAUUGUUUUGCCUCCUGAUUUAUAGGAAACACAGAGAAUUCCCUGAGCCAUGCACAGUGGGAGCACAUGCUGCUUCAGAGCUUCCUGUAUAAGGCGCUAGGAAUGUCCUUAGCAGCUUGUGAGGACCUGGUCCAUGUGAAAUCACAGAUUCAUACACUUCUGACAACAACAGAUUAUAUGGAAGCCCCUGAGAGACAGGGAGUCAUUUCCAUCCUCACAGGCUGUGCUGAGAGCCACUUGGACCUCGUCUUGAAUGCACUUCAGGAGUUUGGGGCUGCAAUGAGCAAGGUUAAGAUUUCUGGGUUCAUCAGCCACCUGAAGUUGUCUAGGACUACUGCCAUGGGACAAGAGGCAAGACUCGCAGCACCCUGAUGCUGACAUACAGCAACGUGGCUGUCCAUGCUCCAAAAGAGCAGCUUCUCUCCCGAGUAGAGGUAGACAUCACAGGGAACGUCCUUCACCGUUACAGAACCAGUUGUCAGGUGUCUGACUGCUGGUACUGACUCUCCUCUCAGUGCAACCUCGCCACAUCACUUUGCCAUUCAAUUCUGCCCUGUCUAACUGAGACUCUCAUUUAGCCAUUGUCAAAAAAGUUGAUCACAGUUGAACCAAACGGAUACCUUCCAGGAGUUCACAAAUGCAAAUAUUCCGAGGAUGGCCCCUGAUCUUGAC
RNA transcript from Dermochelys coriacea (leatherback sea turtle), 1498 nucleotides. It is a transcript of the gene named maestro heat-like repeat-containing protein family member 2B, with no coding region annotated. The transcript has 5 exons. NCBI's taxonomy places the organism in Eukaryota, Metazoa, Chordata, Testudines, Dermochelyidae. The record is from RefSeq and is a predicted model, not a curated record.